Molecule: ribosomal RNA, 270 nt
Filed under: uncultured archaeon
Lineage: Archaea
Description: partial 16S ribosomal RNA
Rfam family: Archaeal small subunit ribosomal RNA
Source: RNAcentral
CAGCACCUCAAGUGGUCAGGAUGAUUAUUGGGCCUAAAGCAUCCGUAGCCGGCUCUGUAAGUUUUCGGUUAAAUCUGUAUGCUCAACAUACAGGCUGCCGGGAAUACUGCAGAGCUAGGGAGUGGGAGAGGUAGACGGUACUCGAUAGGAAGGGGUAAAAUCCUUUGAUCUAUUGAUGACCACCUGUGGCGAAGGCGGUCUACCAGAACACGUCCGACGGUGAGGGAUGAAAGCUGGGGGAGCAAACCGGAUUAGAUACCCGAGUAGUCC